This 86-nucleotide transfer RNA is filed under the name Acinetobacter baumannii. RNAcentral describes it as "tRNA-Leu". It matches the Rfam family "tRNA". Rfam says of the family: Transfer RNA (tRNA) molecules are approximately 80 nucleotides in length. Their secondary structure includes four short double-helical elements and three loops (D, anti-codon, and T loops). The record is from RNAcentral. Lineage: Bacteria; Pseudomonadati; Pseudomonadota; Gammaproteobacteria; Moraxellales; Moraxellaceae.
CCCGAGGUGGUGAAAUUGGUAGACGCGGCGGACUCAAAAUCCGCUGUCAGAGAUGACGUGUCGGUUCGAGUCGACCCUCGGGACCA